CUCGCUGGGCGCUGCUGCGGGUAGGGCGCGGGGCCGGGUACCUGGGAGGUGGUGCGCGUCGCCCGACCCGAGCUCACUGGGGCAGGCACGCGUGCCUUCCGUCAGUCCGAGUUGCAGAGGCCAGGUGCCCUCCCCCAGCCAGGCGCCUUCCCAGCUGUGGUCCUGGGGAAGGUGGGCUGCACAGGCCCUGGCGGUGCUACCACUGCGUGCCCCUGCCUCACAGCUGACACUCACUCUCUGCGGAGGAGGGUGCUAGGGCGAUCGUCGCAGCCAGCAAGGGACAGAGUAGGCAGGGCUGUGCCUGGAAUGCUCGGGGGACCCUCCCCUUUCUCCCAGCCUGAGCACCCUUCCGCCUUUGCACAACCCAGCUCCUGCCUGCCCUUGGGACUGGACUUCAAGCUGUGGGGGAAGAGGGGGACUCAGGACUCAGGAGGGAAGGGCUAACUGCCCAAUGCCCCAAACAGAACAUGAAGGAGGACGCCAGCACUCUACACUCUGAUGACUGGAGCGGGGUUCUGGAGGCUGAUGUGAAGCGGGUGCUAGGAAGGGCUGGGGUCACAGGCAUUCCUUAGAGGAAAGAAAGGGCGUGAGGCUAGAGUAGGCAUUGGAGACCUAGGGGUUAGUGAAUAAACUGUGGGGCACUUAGGUGGAAGUGCAGAUUUCUCCUUAUUCAUUUGUCAGCACUCUUUACGUAUGAAAAAUCCUGUUCUUUUGUGUAUAUUGGAAA
Homo sapiens (human) is the source of this 727-nucleotide long non-coding RNA. The record is from Ensembl. NCBI's taxonomy places the organism in Eukaryota, Metazoa, Chordata, Mammalia, Primates, Hominidae.